Molecule: ribosomal RNA, 406 nt
Filed under: uncultured bacterium
Lineage: Bacteria
Description: partial 16S ribosomal RNA
Rfam family: Bacterial small subunit ribosomal RNA
Source: RNAcentral
AUUGAACGCUGGCGGCAGGCCUAACACAUGCAAGUCGAACGAGUGUAUGACGGGUGAGUAAUGUCCGGGAAACUGCCUGAUGGAGGGGGAUAACUACUGGAAACGGUAGCUAAUACCGCAUACCAUCAGAUGUGCCCAGAUGGGAUUAGCUAGUUGGUGGGGUAACGGCUCACCAAGGCGACGAUCCCUAGCUGGUCUGAGAGGAUGACCAGCCACACGUGAACUGAGACACGGUCCAGACUCCUCCGGGAGGCAGCAGUGGGUAAUAUUGCACUAUGGGCGCAAGCCUGAGGCAGCCAUGCCUCGUGUAUGAAGAUGGCCUUCGGGUUGUAAAGUACUUACGGCGGGGAGGCGUUACCCGCAGAAGAAGCACCGUCUAACUCCGUGCCAGCAGCCGCGGUAAUUC